UGGGGAAUAUUGGACAAUGGGGGCAACCCUGAUCCAGCAAUGCCGUGUGUGUGAAGAAGGCCUGCGGGUUGUAAAGCACUUUCAGUGGGGAAGAGGGGUUUCAAGUUGAUAAGGCUUGGGAUUUGACGUUACCCACAGAAGAAGCACCGGCUAACUCCGUGCCAGCAGCCGCGGUAAUACGGAGGGUGCGAGCGUUAAUCGGAAUUACUGGGCGUAAAGCGCGCGUAGGCGGUCGAGUAAGUCAGAUGUGAAAGCCCUGGGCUUAACCUGGGAAUGGCAUUUGAGACUGCUCGGCUGGAGUCUGUCAGAGGGUGGCGGAAUUCCGGGUGUAGCGGUGAAAUGCGUAGAUAUCCGGAGGAACACCGGUGGCGAAGGCGGCCACCUGGGGCAAGACUGACGCUGAGGUGCGAAAGCGUGGGGAGCGAACAGGAUUAGAUACCCCCGUAGUCC
This 450-nucleotide ribosomal RNA is filed under the name uncultured prokaryote. Its description in RNAcentral is "bacterial SSU rRNA". It matches the Rfam family "Bacterial small subunit ribosomal RNA", at positions 355 to 796 of the family's 1533-position model. The record is from RNAcentral.